UUCCAACUGUGUAUUUGCUUCUGGUAUUUCUGGUAUUUCGGUAAUUGAUUUUCCAUAUUUCUGGAAAAUGUUUUGUUAAUUUCUGUAAUUUCUGUAAAUACCGUGUAAAUAAUUUCCUCACAAUUCUAAAAAGAAAAGGCCCGCGGUAAUUUUUUCUUCGCUCUCUCUCCUCUCAGUCUCUCCUCUCUUUCGUUGAUUUUAUUCUUCAUCCACUGGAUCUUCAUCUCUCUCCUCUCAACUCCAAUUAUCCGAUGUGUAGCAAAUAUUUUUAAGGAGGUGAAGAUUUCUUUCUAGUGUCACAGUCAAAUCAAAUUGCUCACCACUUCAUAAAGGACAGUUUCAAGCCUUCAAGGAGGUGGAAGUCUUGAAUGUUGAACGUAAACAAGUAUCUAAAUUAUUUUCUUAGCUGCUGCCUUGAACCUUAAGUUGUGUUUUUCCCUUUUAAUUUUAAAAGUAUGUUAUUGGUGUUAUUACAUUGUUUGGACUUGUCUUAGGGCCAAAGAGUUCUGGGGUUGUGUUCGAUUUCUUCCUCCCUUCCAAUGCUCAAUUUCUCUCAGUCUUCGUUCAGAAUAUUCCACCCGCGGGAGCGAGACAUCCCUAAUUCUUCUCUUGAAGUUAACGUUCACGGUUCCUUUUGCCAUGGAUCAAAGGAAGUUAGCUGAGCAGGUAUUUGCUAUUUUACAGUGAUUGGAAGCUUUUCUAUGAAAUACUUUACUUGGGAUCUCCUGGAAACCAAAUUUCUUUACCAAUGGGGAUAUAUCAACAAUCACCCAGUAGGGCAAAGUAGAUUGCAUACCAUUCUACUUAAGGCUCCGUUUGGUUGGGUGUAAAACAUUUUCAGUGUAAAACAUUUUCAGUGUAAAAUGAAUUUCGUGGAAAACAAGUUACAACGGAAAACACAAUUUCAAAAUUAGUUUUCCGUUGUUUGGUUCCAUGUAAGAAAAAUAAAGUAACAAAAGGAAAAUGAAAGGGAAAGUAAGCAAGUAGUGAGAAGAGUAUACAAGAGAGGUAAGGCAAAAGGAAGGAAAACAGUUUUCCCUUCAUUUUUGAAGGGAAAAUGGGUUUCCAUCAUUGGGAGAACAAUUUUACUCCUAGGAAAAAUGGUUUUACAUUCCUUUGCAAACCAAACAACGUAAAAUUGAAAAUAGAGGAAAAUCGUUUUCCCGGAAAAUGUUUUACGCCAUACCAAACGGAGCCUAAAUGCACGGAGUUGCUCCCCACUCUUUCACGAAAAGUAUUCGGUUUGAAGACCGGAAUACUAAUCCCUACUACAGAUGCCGUUGCAAGGAUGUUGAGUUUUUGUAAUCGGUUUUGUGUUUUGCUUACCCCACCCCCAGAAUGUAAAAUAGAUAAUUUUUUUAGAAUCUUAUUGAUAGGAGUCUUAGUGUUUCGCCAAACUUGAACGGCGUUCUGGUCUGGUUUUAAUUAAUACCUUGAGUUUCAAACUCUGCAGCGCAAUUUAUUUGAUUACAAAUCAAUCCCAGAAGUUUUGAUUGUAACCAAUUAUUAUGGCUUAAUCGUAUUCAUAGCUAUUGAGUAUUGA
Long non-coding RNA from Spinacia oleracea (spinach), 1543 nucleotides. RefSeq lists it as uncharacterized. The record is from RefSeq and is a predicted model, not a curated record. The transcript has 2 exons. NCBI's taxonomy places the organism in Eukaryota, Viridiplantae, Streptophyta, Magnoliopsida, Caryophyllales, Amaranthaceae.